This 53-nucleotide transfer RNA is filed under the name Hypostomus affinis. RNAcentral describes it as "tRNA-Pro". Lineage: Eukaryota; Metazoa; Chordata; Actinopteri; Siluriformes; Loricariidae. The record is from RNAcentral.
CAGAAAAUAGUUUAGUUUAGAAUCCUAGCUUUGGGAGUUAGGGGUGGGAGUUA